This 376-nucleotide long non-coding RNA is filed under the name Anser cygnoides (Swan goose). RNAcentral's name for it is "lncRNA (ENSACDG00005016156.1)". Lineage: Eukaryota; Metazoa; Chordata; Aves; Anseriformes; Anatidae. The record is from RNAcentral.
AGGGACCUCGGCCCUGCGGUGGGGCCUUCUCCUGCUCCUGCCACGUGGAGGAUACCCUCACCAUCCCCAGCAGCCAGGUCGGGAGCGGCAGGAGCAUCGAGUGGAAGGAUGUUGUUCCGUGCUGCAGAGCGGGCGCAGCUCAGCUCAGCAGACCUCAGCUGCCGAUCUGCACGCAGCAUCAAAGCCAUGCAGGGAGGUAGGAGAAAAACAAAUCCGUGCCAGUAGGUCUCUACACAUGAUGUAGAGAUCUGCACUUCCUGGGGGGGUUGCAGGAAAUGUUGAAUAUCGUUGGAUGCUGCUGGAAUAUCUCGCUUGAGCUGCGCCACAAGAGGGCAACCCGAGGCCACGAAUGUUCUACUCAAGCCCAGGAGAUGCU